RNAcentral lists this ribosomal RNA (460 nucleotides) under uncultured bacterium. RNAcentral's name for it is "partial 16S ribosomal RNA". It matches the Rfam family "Bacterial small subunit ribosomal RNA", at positions 338 to 795 of the family's 1533-position model. The record is from RNAcentral.
CCUACGGGAGGCAGCAGUGAGGAAUAUUGGUCAAUGGCCGGAAGGCUGAACCAGCCAAGCCGCGUGAGGGAGGAAGGCGCAGAGCGUCGCAGACCUCUUUUGUCGGGGGACAAAAGGCCGGACUCGUCCGGUUUUGAGUGUACCCGGAGAAAAAGCAUCGGCUAACUCCGUGCCAGCAGCCGCGGUAAUACGGAGGAUGCGAGCGUUAUCCGGAUUUAUUGGGGGGAAAGGGAACGCAGGCGGUCUUUUAAGUCGGAGGUGAAAGCCUUCGGCUUAACCGGAGUAGUGCAGUGGAAACUGGGAGACUUGAGUGCGUAAGAGGAGGGUGGAACUCGAUGUGUAGCGGUGAAAUGCGUAGAUAUAUGGAAGAACACCGAUGGCGAAAGCAGCUCGCUGAGCUAUAACUGACGCUGAGGUUCGAAAGCGUGGGUAGCAAACAGGAUUAGAUACCCGUGUAGUC